UACGGGAGGCAGCAGUGGGGAAUAUUGCACAAUGGGGGAAACCCUGAUGCAGCGACGCCGCGUGAGUGAAGAAGUAUUUCGGUAUGUAAAGCUCUAUCAGCAGGGAAGAAAGUGACGGUACCUGAAUAAGAAGCCCCGGCUAACUACGUGCCAGCAGCCGCGGUAAUACGUAGGGGGCAAGCGUUAUCCGGAUUUACUGGGUGUAAAGGGAGCGUAGACGGCAAGGCAAGUCUGAAGUGAAAGCCCGGUGCUUAACGCCGGGACUGCUUUGGAAACUGUUUGGCUGGAGUGCCGGAGAGGUAAGCGGAAUUCCUAGUGUAGCGGUGAAAUGCGUAGAUAUUAGGAAGAACACCAGUGGCGAAGGCGGCUUACUGGACGGUAACUGACGUUGAGGCUCGAAAGCGUGGGGAGCAAACAGGAUUAGAUACCCUGGUAGUCCACGCCGUAAACGAUGAUUGCUAGGUGUAGGUGGGUAUGGACCCAUCGGUGCCGCAGCUAACGCAAUAAGCAAUCCACCUGGGG
This 522-nucleotide ribosomal RNA is filed under the name uncultured bacterium. RNAcentral's name for it is "bacterial SSU rRNA". It matches the Rfam family "Bacterial small subunit ribosomal RNA", at positions 340 to 878 of the family's 1533-position model. The record is from RNAcentral.